GAUGAACGCUGGCGGCGUGCCUAACACAUGCAAGUCGAGCGGAAAUCGUCGGAGUAUUUAUACAAAGGAUGAUUUUAGCGGCGGACGGGUGAGUAACACGUGAGCAAUCUACCUUCUGCAGGGGAAUAACACUGGGAAACCAGAGCUAAUACCGCAUAUAGUAUCGAGGGGGCAUCCCUUGGAUAUGAAAGGAGCAAUCCGGCAGGAGAUGAGCUCGCGCCCGAUUAGUUAGUUGGUGAGGUAACGGCUCACCAAGGCAACGAUCGGUAGCCGGACUGAGAGGUUGAUCGGCCACAUUGGGACUGAGACACGGCCCAGACUCCUACGGGAGGCAGCAGUGGGGAAUAUUGGGCAAUGGGGGGAACCCUGACCCAGCAACGCCGCGUGAAGGACGAAGGCCUUCGGUUGUAACUUACUUUGUAACAGGGACGGAAACAAAUAGACGGUACCGUCGAAGAACAAGACCACGGCGUAACUAACGUG
Molecule: ribosomal RNA, 483 nt
Filed under: uncultured bacterium
Lineage: Bacteria
Description: bacterial SSU rRNA
Rfam family: Bacterial small subunit ribosomal RNA
Source: RNAcentral